GUGUCAUACGAGACUGCCGGUAAAAGCCGGAGGAAGGUGAGGAUGAUGUCAAGUCAGGCAUGACCUUUAUAUCCAGGGCUACACACACGCGUACAAUGGUCUGUACAAUGGGUAGCCAAGCCGCGAGGCGGAGCCAAUCCUGAAAGCAGGCCUCAGUUCAGAUUGCAGUCUGCAACUCGACUGCAUGAAGCCGGAGUUGCUAGUAACCGCAGGUCAGCAAUACUGCGGUGAAUACGUUCCCGGGUCUU
This 248-nucleotide ribosomal RNA is filed under the name uncultured Anaerolineaceae bacterium. Its description in RNAcentral is "partial 16S ribosomal RNA". It matches the Rfam family "Bacterial small subunit ribosomal RNA", at positions 1136 to 1382 of the family's 1533-position model. The record is from RNAcentral. Lineage: Bacteria; Bacillati; Chloroflexota; Anaerolineae; Anaerolineales; Anaerolineaceae.